RNAcentral lists this ribosomal RNA (498 nucleotides) under uncultured bacterium. RNAcentral describes it as "bacterial SSU rRNA". It matches the Rfam family "Bacterial small subunit ribosomal RNA", at positions 899 to 1397 of the family's 1533-position model. The record is from RNAcentral.
ACUCAAAGGAAUAGACGGGGACCCGCACAAGCAGCGGAGCAUGUGGUUUAAUUCGAAGCUACGCGAAAAACCUUACCUAGACUUGACAUCCCACGCAUAGCCAUGAAAAUGGUGAAAUCCCGCAAGGGACGUGGUGACAGUUGGUGCAUGGUUGUCGUCAGCUCGUGUCGUGAGAUGUUCUGUUAAGUCAGUCAACGAGCGCAACCCUUAUCUUCAGUUGCCAUCAUUUGGUUGGGCACUCUGGAGAGACUGCCGUAGAUAAUACGGAGGAAGGCGGGGACGAGGUCAAAUCAUCAUGCCACUUACGUUUAGGGCUACACACGUGCUACAAUGGUAGUGACAAAGAGUUCCGAUAUGGCAACAUGGAGGCAAUCUCAAAAAAGCUAUCUCAAUUCGGAUUGUGGGCUGCAACUCGCCCACAUGAAGUCGGAGUUGCUAGUAAUCCCGAAUCAGCAUGUCGGGGUGAAUGCGUUCCCGGGUCUUGUACACACCGCCCGU